RNAcentral lists this ribosomal RNA (484 nucleotides) under uncultured bacterium. Its description in RNAcentral is "partial 16S ribosomal RNA". It matches the Rfam family "Bacterial small subunit ribosomal RNA", at positions 28 to 523 of the family's 1533-position model. The record is from RNAcentral.
GACGAACGCUGGCGGCGUGCUUAACACAUGCAAGUCGAACGAUGAACCCGGAGCUUGCUCCGGUGGAUUAGUGGCGAACGGGUGAGUAACACGUGAGUAACCUGCCCUUGACUCUGGGAUAACUGCGGGAAACUGUAGCUAAUACCGGAUACGACCCUCGGUGGCCUCGCCAGGGGGUGGAAAGAAUUUAGGUCGAGGAUGGACUCGCGGCCUAUCAGCUAGUUGGUGAGGUAACGGCUCACCAAGGCGACGACGGGUAGCCUGCCUGAGAGGGUGACCGGCCACACUGGGACUGAGACACGGCCCAGACUCCUACGGGAGGCAGCAGUGGGGAAUAUUGCACAAUGGGCGCAAGCCUGAUGCAGCAACGCCGCGUGAGGGAUGACGGCCUUCGGGUUGUAAACCUCUUUUAGUAGGGAAGAAGCGAAAGUGACGGUACCUGCAGAAAAAGCACCGGCUAACUACGUGCCAGCCGCCGCCGUAA